RNAcentral lists this ribosomal RNA (371 nucleotides) under uncultured bacterium. Its description in RNAcentral is "bacterial SSU rRNA". It matches the Rfam family "Bacterial small subunit ribosomal RNA", at positions 521 to 896 of the family's 1533-position model. The record is from RNAcentral.
UAAUACGGAGGGGGCAAGCGUUGUUCGGAUUUAUUGGGCGUAGAGGGCACGUAGGUGUUUUUAUAAGUUUCUAGUGAAAUACUUUUGCUUAACAAAAGAACUGCUAGAGAAACUGUUAGAAUUGAGUAUGGAUAAGGAAAUCGGAACUUUCGGUGUAAGGGUGAAAUCUGUAGAUAUCGGAGGGAACACCAGUGGCGAAGGCGGCUUUCUGGUCCAAUACUGACACUGAGGUGCGAAAGCUAGGGGAGUGAACAGGAUUAGAUACCCUGGUAAUCCUAGCUGUAAACGAUGGACACUAAGCAUAUUCUUUAGGGAGUGUGCUAUAGCUAACGCGUUAAGUGUCCCGCCUGGGGAGUACGGUCGCAAGGCUG